UGUGGACCAGCCUAAGUAAACGAAGAGCUAAAAAGUGUCCCUUAAUCAGUUCGAGAACGAUUUUGAUCCCAUGGCAGGUCCUCGCACAGCAGAUUGAUCAGGAGAUUUACUUGAUAGAGACGCACCACUGUAAUUAAGGAUCUGGCAUGGUAUGCCACGUUUUCCCGCUGCAUAAGAGUUAUGAGGUCAUCCAAGUUUAGGGGAUGUGGCUUUUUCCUGGACGAGUCAUGUAACACCUCGAAUUUUUGUGUUCAAUAAUGUGU
Molecule: long non-coding RNA, 263 nt
Filed under: Helianthus annuus (common sunflower)
Lineage: Eukaryota; Viridiplantae; Streptophyta; Magnoliopsida; Asterales; Asteraceae
Description: sRNA HanXRQr2_Chr07g0278831
Source: RNAcentral